RNAcentral lists this ribosomal RNA (369 nucleotides) under uncultured organism. Its description in RNAcentral is "bacterial SSU rRNA". It matches the Rfam family "Bacterial small subunit ribosomal RNA", at positions 526 to 896 of the family's 1533-position model. The record is from RNAcentral.
CGUAGGGUGCGAGCGUUAAUCGGAAUUACUGGGCGUAAAGCGUGCGCAGGCGGUUUGUAAGACAGAUGUGAAAUCCCCGGGCUCAACCUGGGACCUGCAUUUGUGACUGCAAGGCUAGAGUACGGUAGAGGGGGAUGGAAUUCCGCGUGUAGCAGUGAAAUGCGUAGAUAUGCGGAGGAACACCGAUGGCGAAGGCAAUCCCCUGGACCUGUACUGACGCUCAUGCACGAAAGCGUGGGGAGCAAACAGGAUUAGAUACCCUGGUAGUCCGCGCCCUAAACGAUGUCAACUGGUUGUUGGGUCUUUACUGACUCAGUAACGAAGCUAACGCGUGAAGUUGACCGCCUGGGGAGUACGGCCGCAAGGUUG